Non-coding RNA from Mycena leptocephala, 99 nucleotides. NCBI's taxonomy places the organism in Eukaryota, Fungi, Basidiomycota, Agaricomycetes, Agaricales, Mycenaceae. The record is from the annotation of a GenBank genome assembly.
UCGGACGUGGUGCACGGCGCACCCCCGCUCUCGCUUAGCGGCAGCCAUUCUCAAUUGAGUAUAAUGCGGGAACCCCGGGUUCGACUCCCGGCGUCCGAA